GAUGAACGCUGGCGGCGUGCCUAAUACAUGCAAGUCGAGCGAACGGACGAGAAGCUUGCUUCUCUGAUGUUAGCGGCGGACGGGUGAGUAACACGUGGAUAACCUACCUAUAAGACUGGGAUAACUUCGGGAAACCGGAGCUAAUACCGGAUAAUAUUUUGAACCGCAUGGUUCAAAAGUGAAAGACGGUCUUGCUGUCACUUAUAGAUGGAUCCGCGCUGCAUUAGCUAGUUGGUAAGGUAACGGCUUACCAAGGCAACGAUGCAUAGCCGACCUGAGAGGGUGAUCGGCCACACUGGAACUGAGACACGGUCCAGACUCCUACGGGAGGCAGCAGUAGGGAAUCGUCCGCAAUGGGCGAAAGCCUGACGGAGCAACGCCGCGUGAGUGAUGAAGGUCUUCGGAUCGUAAAACUCUGUUAUUAGGGAAGAACAUAUGUGUAAGUAACUGUGCACAUCUUGACGGUACCUAAUCAGAAAGCCACGGCUAACUACGUGC
RNAcentral lists this ribosomal RNA (498 nucleotides) under uncultured bacterium. RNAcentral describes it as "partial 16S ribosomal RNA". It matches the Rfam family "Bacterial small subunit ribosomal RNA", at positions 28 to 508 of the family's 1533-position model. The record is from RNAcentral.